This 362-nucleotide ribosomal RNA is filed under the name uncultured Pelotomaculum sp. RNAcentral describes it as "bacterial SSU rRNA". It matches the Rfam family "Bacterial small subunit ribosomal RNA", at positions 1025 to 1382 of the family's 1533-position model. The record is from RNAcentral. Lineage: Bacteria; Bacillati; Bacillota; Clostridia; Eubacteriales; Desulfotomaculaceae.
ACGAGGGAGACAGGUGGUGCAUGGUUUGUCGUCAGCUCGUGUCGUGAGAUGUUGGGUUUAAGUCCCGCAACGAGCGCAACCCCUACGUUUAGUUGCUAACGCGUGAAGGCGAGCACUCUAGACGAACUGCCGUUGACAAAACGGAGGAAGGUGGGGAUGACGUCAAAUCAUCAUGCCCCUUAUGUUCUGGGCUACACACGUGCUACAAUGGCCGGUACAGACGGACGCAAAGCCGCGAGGUGGAGCAAAUCCCAAAAAGCCGCUCUCAGUUCGGAUUGCAGGCUGCAACUCGCCUGCAUGAAGCCGGAAUCGCUAGUAAUCGCCGGAUCCAGCAUGCCGCGGUGAAUACGUUCCCGGGCCUU